GACCUUUAAAAAUCCAACUGCACGAGUUGCUUAAUCUAUCUAUAUCUAUGUUUAUGUUUACAUCGCGUAUAUGGUCAUAGAAGGUCAAUUUGAAAUUUAAUUAGAUGGCGUCAUUGCUAAAAAUCACACAAAACGAAGCUAAAUCUUAUUGAGACCAUGUAAAUUGUUUAUUUUAUAUUUUUGACAAUUUGGAAAAAUGUUUUACAUUGUUAUAAAUAAAAUAUGAGAAUUUGAGUCAAAUUGGUGAACAUGAAUUUGACAGCUUGUGCCCCUUUAAGC
This 279-nucleotide long non-coding RNA is filed under the name Mytilus galloprovincialis (Mediterranean mussel). The record is from RNAcentral. Lineage: Eukaryota; Metazoa; Mollusca; Bivalvia; Mytilida; Mytilidae.